AGCUUGAAGUUUGAUUCUUGCUUGUAGUUUUUAUAUUAUGAUUGAAAAAUACAUGAAAAUUUUAGUGUUCCUUUAUAUAUGUAUAAAUUAAAAAUUUAAUAUGGAAUAAAUCUCAGUAUUUAAUUUUAAAAAAUUAAUUAAAAUUAGAAUUGGUGAAUCAUUUUAAUUCUGACUAAAUUUUGUGCCAGCAGUCGCGGUUAUACUUAGGGGGUAAAUAAAUAUAAUUUGGUAGUAUAGUAAGUUAUUUGUUAACUAAAAUUUAUUAUUUUUUUGAAAGAGUGAAAUCAGAAUUUAAUAAUAGUAAUGAUUUUAAAAUAAAACAUAAAUAGACUAUAAAUUUUAAUAUAUAAACUAGGAUUAGAUACCCUAUUAUAA
This 375-nucleotide ribosomal RNA is filed under the name Pagurus bernhardus (common hermit crab). RNAcentral's name for it is "partial 12S ribosomal RNA". The record is from RNAcentral. Lineage: Eukaryota; Metazoa; Arthropoda; Malacostraca; Decapoda; Paguridae.